Schistosoma rodhaini is the source of this 46-nucleotide non-coding RNA. Lineage: Eukaryota; Metazoa; Platyhelminthes; Trematoda; Strigeidida; Schistosomatidae. The record is from Rfam.
GCACUGCUGAGGAGUCCCGUAAUAGAAGGAAACGACCGUCCAGUGC